Molecule: ribosomal RNA, 885 nt
Filed under: Triticum aestivum (bread wheat)
Lineage: Eukaryota; Viridiplantae; Streptophyta; Magnoliopsida; Poales; Poaceae
Description: partial small subunit ribosomal RNA
Source: RNAcentral
AUGAGCGAGUUGGCCGCCGCUCCGCCGGACGGGCCGGACGCCGCGCUGACCUCCGCACGGGUUGGCAGUAGUACUAGUAGAAUUGAGAUUGAAUGCACUUUCUUCCCCGUCUUCCACUCUUCUUCCUCCUCUCUUCCCCAUUGUUGGCCGCACACCAUUUACCCCCGCUCACUGCUCGCCCGCACCAUCUUCCUUGCAGACGCAAAUGCGCUGGCCUUCAUGAUUCCAGGACCUGGAAUCAUACCAGCCGAUGGCACGACCCUCUUUUGUUGGAUAUUAUGUACUGUUGUUACUUUGAAGCACUCCUCUGGUUUCAAGGAUAGAUACCUUCCUGGGAUCAAGUGCAUCCUAACUCACCUGCUACCAUAUAACUGGAAUUACCGAUGCAAGUCGAAGAAGGAUUGGCCGGUGCUGCCGGCUGGCGUCAAGUUCGAUCCCACGGAUCAGGAGCUGAUCGAGCACCUUGAGGCCAAAGUGAGUGCUGACAGCGCGAGAUUUCAGUCUCUCAUCGAUUUGUUCAUACCAACCAUCGACGGCGAGCACGGCAUAUGCUACACCCAACCUAAGAAACUUCCAGCGCAAUUCCAGGGCGUUCAAAAGGGGCACGUGGACGCGUCGCAAGAUACAGUCGGAGUGCGGCAUGCACGCGAUGUGGCACAAGACCGGCAAUACCUUGCCAGUGAUGGUCAACGGCCGGCAAGACGGGCAGCAAAAAAGGUUCUGGUGCUGCACACCAACAAGAACUUCGACCAGCAGAGGACCAACUGGGUGAUGCACCAGUACCACCUCGGGGACCUGGAGCAAGAGAAGGAGCGGGAGCUGGUCCUCUACAAGAUUUUCUACCAGACGAACACUAGGGCCGGGAGUAAAAAGAUUAUAAGUUAG